CGGGCCUGCUGAUGCUGGCGACUCCGGUGGCGGUCUGGCCCAGCUGCAGAUGGACUUUGUGGAGAUGUUGCAAGUCCGUGAUGAACGGAGGAGGAUGAGGCACGUUGAAACCCUGAGGAAGAAUAAGGAGGAAGAUGAUGGGGGCAAAGAGACCGACCCGGAUGCGGAGCCCCAUGUGGAGCUGCUGGGGGACCAGCAGGACGAGGAACUCUUCAAGGACAUUCAGCGCUGCGUGGAGACCUUCAUGUCAGCAGAACCUCCCACCAACUCCAGAGACUCAGAGACACAGGAGAAGCAAGAAAAUGGAGGCACGAACCAAGAUUCAACAUCAACAAAUUCCCAACCCCCCUCAAAAGCAUCCAGAAAGUUUGUGAGCUCUCUCUCCAUCUCCUUUGAUAAGAGUCCCACACCACCCUCAGCAACCAGCAGACUGGUUUCUCCUCUGAGCCCCAAGUCUCCGCCCCCUCAGUCCCCGAGGGCGGAGUCACCACGCAGCCCCACCCACUCCGGCUCUAUGAGCCCCACACCGAAUGGAGACGCAGCGAGACAUGAAAAUGGGUCACCGAGCAAUUUCGAACCAGCUGCGAAACCUGCGUUCACACGGCAGAGCUCCAGAACGGUGUCCUUCAGGAUGGUGAAGAAGAAGGAGGAAGAAAACAUGCCGCUACAGAGAAGUGCAAGUGUGCGGAUUGCAGAGAAGACAUUUGAAUCCAAUAAGAGCUCCAAACAAGAGGAGGAGCAGCAGACUCCGUUUCAGAGAAACUCCCGACAGAGGUUAUCAUCUCGCUCCAUUCAGGAGAAAAUGGAACGACUGGCUCAAGCCUCACAGAAAUGGGAAAUAUCCAAAUCCCCAGUGGUGCACCAGACUGUGUGUUUAGCGGAUGAGGUGUCAAGGAAGAGGGAGCUGUUUGAGAAAGAGCAGGAGGGAUCCGACAGAAGCCAUGUGCUCUCCAAACAGGAAUUUCGCAGCUUUUCUUCUGGACUGUCUGAUCGAAUUAAUCGCUGGGUUCAAAAGAAAACAUUUACUGUGUCAUCAUCUUCAUCAUCAUCAUCACCAUCUCAUAGUCCUUUGGAUCUGAGACUUGUGAGCAUCUCCAGUAAGAAAAGUUUGUUUGAGAGAGGACAAGACCAGGACAACAAGUGACAAUCUCAUGGAUAGAGACAAAGUUUAAUGAGAGUCAUUUGAUCAUGUAUCUCUGCAGAUUCUGAAGAUUUUGAAGGAAGCUUGAUCGACUCUUUCAGACAGUCAGUGCCAAGGAUUGUCUCUAAACUCCUUUUCCUUCUGCUUCUUUACAUUGGCUAAUUCCUCAGCACUUUUAAGGCAUAGUACUGAUCUACAUUAUUUGGGUAAAUUCAAGGCUUAUGUUAUUGGUUGUGAAUGUGUGUACUAAUGGAUUGUAGAAUGCAACAGGACUGUAUUAUAGGGUCUUUACACAGAAAUUGAAAAUCACAGGGUUUAUCUGACAGCAGGAAUACAGACAUACAGCUUCUUUGUGUCUGUGCCAGACACUCCUCUUCCUUAUAGCUUGACAUUUGUGCUGUUGAUAAGUAAGUUAUUAGGAGAAUGAGGCAUAAUGUAUGACCUGAGCCAUAACUCAUAACAGUCCAAGGUACAACUGCAAUAUCAUGAAUGUCUGUUUCAAUGAACCUACUGGAAAUAAGCUCAAUGAAUCAUUUGUAAUGAAGCUGGAAUCGUGCGCUGAAGCUGACCUAUGCUCUCGCUGCUGUUGUUUUAACCUGCCGGAGACUUAAGUCUUAGUAAGGAAAUGUAAUUUAGACGUAAUCUAUGGAGAAAUGUGCCCUAUCAAGCCCUUUGCAAACUGACUUCAAUCCAUUCCAAUUCAAGCAAGCUUACGUUUCCUUUUUUGCUAACCGACCUGUCAUGUAAUUAUCUUUUCUGCCCAGAAGGGUUAUGCUGUAGAUUAAUUAAAAAAAAAUUUUUUUGUACAAGU
Molecule: long non-coding RNA, 1952 nt
Organism: Sinocyclocheilus grahami
Lineage: Eukaryota; Metazoa; Chordata; Actinopteri; Cypriniformes; Cyprinidae
Product: serine/arginine repetitive matrix protein 1-like
Source: Ensembl